UGUUUUACUGCUUAGGGCGAGGACCCACCCGGAUGUCCGGGCGUAGCCCCAGAUGAUCCGGAUAGGUUCGGAUGACCGGAAAGGAGCCCGGAUGUCCAGGUAUAUGGGUACAGGGAGUGGAACUACCCGGACGUCCGGAUGAACAUCCGAAUGAUCCGGCCAGCCAGAGUGCUGGCUGAUAUUUUGAACUGGUGAUGAUGUGAUGAUGUUUAUUUGGAUCACAGCAGCCUAUAUAGGGGCGACGGAGGUUCUGCCGAGAUAAAACCUGAAGCGAGCAGCCGAUAAAAAAAAGGAAAACCGAUCCCGGCCCCGACUCUCUUCCCCAACCUCCCCACUCCCUGCGUCUCCAUCCCGCAACCGCGGCCGCGCCCACUCCCCCGACCUCCCCGCCGCCGCGCGCCAUCCCCCGGCCCCGCCCCGUCUCCCCUGCCUUCUUCCCCGACACCAUCCCGGACCUUCGUCCGAAGCAUCCGCCGCGUCCAGAUCCACCCGCCGGCGACGCCCACCGCCGGCACCCCGCUACCCACUACCUUCCCGGCGGCUCCGCCUGCGUACCACCGCCGGCGCGCCCCUGUGCCCAGUCGCAGUUGCUGCCUCGCCACCCGCACCCACCUCCAGGCACCCAUGGCCGCCAUCGCCAGGACCUUCCCUCCCCAACGAGGCUACACCUAGCCAGAUACCUGCUGCUCUCCAACGCCUGGACCAACACAGUCAACCGUGCGCCGGCAACGCGCAACCGGUCACCAUGGAACCCGCGUGCAGGCAUUCGUCCAUGGUUGAUAGCCUCAACCAUGGCGGUCCAUCCCCACACGCCGCCGCUGGCCGUCGUCGUCCCUGACCACCAGACAAGCACCGCCGCCCCUGCAUCUCCGGCCACAUCGACCUUCUCAGGAGGGCUACCUUGACCUUCCCGGGGAAGGUUCAUCCAUGGAGUGGCCGCUGCCGCCACUCCACUACCGCGCUGUGCCUGGCUUGCCGCAAGCCUCCGCCCUCCAUCACCAGUGCGCUGCCACCGCAUGGAGCUUACAGCGCCAAGAUUCCCUUGUGCGCCAUCAGCUACCACCUAGGCUGCGUGGCUACUUCCCACCCCGUUGUGCUUCAGAUUCUGUAGAGCUUCAGGUUCAGAGCUUUUCCCUUCUGAAAUUCAGUGAAGGGAAGGACUACCUGAGCGCUACCAGCAGUACAAGGAGUUUAGAAGGCAAGAGAUGGGUCAAUAGAUGAUCCCUACUUUGCAGCAGUGUGCUGUACAUGUGGAGGAAAGGUCAAGCAAAAAGUGUAGUUUGAUAAUUACGUCGUAACUUAUUAAGCUCGCUUGCUCUCUGGCUCUUAUUACUUUGUGUUUGUGCCUCAAACAAAAGAAAAGAAAAAAGUAAAAAAUAUUUGAAGAUUUUA
Molecule: long non-coding RNA, 1392 nt
Organism: Aegilops tauschii subsp. strangulata
Lineage: Eukaryota; Viridiplantae; Streptophyta; Magnoliopsida; Poales; Poaceae
Source: RefSeq, a predicted model, not a curated record